Molecule: small nuclear RNA, 165 nt
Filed under: Malurus cyaneus samueli
Lineage: Eukaryota; Metazoa; Chordata; Aves; Passeriformes; Maluridae
Description: U1 spliceosomal RNA (ENSMCSG00000006103.1)
Rfam family: U1 spliceosomal RNA
About the family: U1 is a small nuclear RNA (snRNA) component of the spliceosome (involved in pre-mRNA splicing). Its 5' end forms complementary base pairs with the 5' splice junction, thus defining the 5' donor site of an intron.
Source: Rfam by way of RNAcentral
UUACUUUACCUGGCAGGGGAAGACACCAUGAUCAAGCAGGUGGUUUUCCAGGCGAGGCUCAUCCUUUGCACUCCGGUGUGCUGACCCCUGCGAUUCCCCAAAAUGCGGGAAACUCGGACUGCAUAAUUCUGUGGUAGUGGGGGACUGGUAUCGCGCUCUCCCCUG